UACGGAGGGAGCUAGCGUUGUUCGGAAUUACUGGGCGUAAAGCGCACGUAGGCGGCCAUUCAAGUCAGAGGUGAAAGCCCGGGGCUCAACCCCGGAAUAGCCUUUGAAACUAGAUGGCUUGAAUCCAGGAGAGGUGAGUGGAAUUCCGAGUGUAGAGGUGAAAUUCGUAGAUAUUCGGAAGAACACCAGUGGCGAAGGCGGCUCACUGGACUGGUAUUGACGCUGAGGUGCGAAAGCGUGGGGAGCAAACAGG
Molecule: ribosomal RNA, 253 nt
Filed under: uncultured bacterium
Lineage: Bacteria
Description: partial 16S ribosomal RNA
Rfam family: Bacterial small subunit ribosomal RNA
Source: RNAcentral